AGCGGAAAGGCCCCUUCGGGGGUACUCGAGCGGCGAACGGGUGAGUAACACGUGAGCAACCUGCCCCUGACUCUGGGAUAAGCCUGGGAAACUGGGUCUAAUACCGGAUAUGACGCAUUCUCGCAUGGGAUGUGUGUGGAAAGUUUUUCGGUUGGGGAUGGGCUCGCGGCCUAUCAGCUUGUUGGUGGGGUGAUGGCCUACCAAGGCGACGACGGGUAACCGGCCUGAGAGGGCGACCGGUCACACUGGGACUGAGACACGGCCCAGACUCCUACGGGAGGCAGCAGUGGGGAAUAUUGCGCAAUGGGCGGAAGCCUGACGCAGCGACGCCGCGUGGGGGAUGACGGCCUUCGGGUUGUAAACCUCUUUCAGCAGGGACGAAGCUAACGUGACGGUACCUGCAGAAGAAGCGCCGGCUAACUACGUGCCAGCAGGGCGG
This 439-nucleotide ribosomal RNA is filed under the name Actinomadura sp. XM-17-11. RNAcentral's name for it is "bacterial SSU rRNA". It matches the Rfam family "Bacterial small subunit ribosomal RNA", at positions 65 to 520 of the family's 1533-position model. The record is from RNAcentral. Lineage: Bacteria; Bacillati; Actinomycetota; Actinomycetes; Streptosporangiales; Thermomonosporaceae.